AUGGCGGCCAUGGCCCCCGAGCGCGGCGCCGGCGCCGUCCUGGCCCUGCUGGCCCUGCUGGCCGUGCCCGGGCUCCGGGCGGCCGUGACCCUGCUGGAGUCCGGGGGGGACCUCCAGCCCCCCGGCGGGUCCCUGCGCCUCCUGUGCCGGGCGGGCGCCGGCGCGGCGCCGGCGGCGCUGGUGUGGGUGCGGCAGCGCGCCGGCGCCGGGCUGGAGGCGCUGGGCGGCGCCGGGAGGUUCACGGUGAAGGUCGGUGGUGGUGGAGGGCGAGGAGGAGGUUGGGCGGUGUUGGAAGGGGAACGGCUGGAGGACGGCGAUUCCGGCGUUUAUUUCUGCGGCGCUCACGGCGGCGCCGGGCGGGGCGCGGCGGUGGCGGGAAACCGGGCCGCCGUCCGCGCGCCGGACCUGUUCCCGCUGUCGCCGUGCGGCGCCGCCGCCUCGCCCGCCUCCGUGGGCUGCGUGGCCGUCGGAUUCUUCCCGCCGCCGCUGGAGCUGGCCUGGAGCGACGCCGGCAACGGGAGCGCCGCCGGCGCCGCCUUCCCGGCCGUGCCGCGCUCCGGAACCUUCCUGGCGGCGUCGCGCCUGGGGCUGGAGCCGGAGGACGGAAAAUCCCGGGCGCCGUUCCGCUGCCGCGCCCGCCACGGCCGCAGCAACCGCAGCGUCCAGGUUGCCAAGCCAGGUCCCGGCGCGCCGCCGCCGCCGCCGGAGCUGUCGCUUCGUCCGCCGUCCCGCCACGACUUCCGGGGCCCUUCCCGCAACUCCACCCUCCUGUGCCAAAUCCGCGGCCGCCGCCUCGGCGCCGACGCCAUCCGCUGGUUCCGCGACGGCGCCCCGGUGAGCGCCGGCGUCGCCGCCGAGCCGCCCCGGACAUCCGGCGGCGUCGCGGUGGCCGGCAGCCGCCUGGAGGUGACGGAAGCCGAGUGGGAGAGCGGCGCCGUCUUCUCCUGCCAGGCCGGCGACGAGAUGAGGAACACCAGCAAGACGUUGGAGUGCGGCUAUGACCAACCCCUGCCCGACGGCGACAUCCGGGUGGAGGCGCUGCCGCCGCCCUUCGCCGAACUCUUCCACGACCGCGCGGCGCGGCUCCGGUGCCGCGUGACCAACCUGCCGGCGGCCGCCGAGGGCCUGGAGGUGACGUGGCUGAAGGAGGACGGCGAGGCCCUGGCCACCGAAACCUCGGCGCCGGCGCCGGGGCCCGACGGGCUCCUGGCGGCCGAGGGCGUGGCCCGGGUGGGCGCCGAGCUCUGGGAGUCCGGCCGGGCCUUCACGUGCCGCGUGGCGCACCCGGAGCUGCUCUUCCCCAAGGAGGUGACGCUGAGGAAGAGCUUGGUGACCUCCCCCUCUCCGCCCUCCCUCUACCUCCUCCCUCCGCCGCCGGAGCAGCUCCGCGCCGGCGCCUGGGCCACGCUCACCUGCCUGGCGCUGGACUUCAACCCCCCGGAGAUCCUCGUCCGGUGGCUCCAGGACGGCCGAGCCCUUCCACCGGAGCUCGCCGUCACCUCCCCGCCCCGGCCGCAACCCGGCACCGGCGGCCGCGGGCCCGUCUACGGCGCCGUCAGCACGCUGACCGUGCCGGCGCGCGCCUGGGACGCCGGCGCCGUCUUCACCUGCCUG
Lonchura striata (white-rumped munia) is the source of this 1614-nucleotide non-coding RNA. The record is from the annotation of a RefSeq genome assembly. NCBI's taxonomy places the organism in Eukaryota, Metazoa, Chordata, Aves, Passeriformes, Estrildidae.